RNAcentral lists this ribosomal RNA (262 nucleotides) under Pneumocystis wakefieldiae. RNAcentral describes it as "partial large subunit ribosomal RNA". It matches the Rfam family "Bacterial large subunit ribosomal RNA", at positions 821 to 1063 of the family's 2925-position model. Lineage: Eukaryota; Fungi; Ascomycota; Pneumocystomycetes; Pneumocystales; Pneumocystaceae. The record is from RNAcentral.
GUGAAAUGCAAAUCGGACUAGGAUAUAGCUGGUUUUCUGCGAAAUCUAUUUAGGUAGAUAGCUUAAUAAGGAUGUUUAUUAGUGGGUAUAGCACUGAAUAUCUAAUAUUAUUAGAAGGGAGUAUGAAAGUACUUACUUUGGAUAUUUAAUCUCAGAAUAACUAAUAGAUGAUGAUUAAGUUGUCAGACUUUUUGCGAUAAGGUGGGAAGUCGAGAGGGGAACAGCCCAGAAUAAUUUAUAAAGUUCUAAAAUUGUUACUGAG